RNAcentral lists this ribosomal RNA (501 nucleotides) under uncultured bacterium. RNAcentral's name for it is "partial 16S ribosomal RNA". It matches the Rfam family "Bacterial small subunit ribosomal RNA", at positions 29 to 523 of the family's 1533-position model. The record is from RNAcentral.
AUUGAACGCUGGCGGCAUGCCUUACACAUGCAAGUCGAACGGCAGCACGGGUGCUUGCACCUGGUGGCGAGUGGCGAACGGGUGAGUAAUACAUCGGAACGUACCUUAUCGUGGGGGAUAACGCAGCGAAAGUUGCGCUAAUACCGCAUACGCCCUGAGGGGGAAAGCGGGGGACCGUAAGGCCUCGCGCGAUUAGAGCGGCCGAUGCCUGAUUAGCUUGUUGGUGGGGUAAAAGCCCACCAAGGCGACGAUCAGUAGCUGGUCUGAGAGGACGAUCAGCCACACUGGGGCUGAGACACGGCCCAGACUCCUACGGGAGGCAGCAGUGGGGAAUUUUGGACAAUGGGGGCAACCCUGAUCCAGCAAUGCCGCGUGAGUGAAGAGGGCCUUCGGGUUGUAAAGCUCUUUUGUCAGGGAAGAAACACCGGCUCUAACACAGUCCGGGAAUGACGGUACCUGAAGAAUAAGCACCGGCUAACUACGUGCCAGCCGCCGCCGUAA